RNAcentral lists this ribosomal RNA (494 nucleotides) under uncultured bacterium. Its description in RNAcentral is "bacterial SSU rRNA". It matches the Rfam family "Bacterial small subunit ribosomal RNA", at positions 8 to 500 of the family's 1533-position model. The record is from RNAcentral.
AGGCUUUGAUCCUGGCUCAGGACGAACGCUGGCGGCGUGCCUAACACAUGCAAGUCGAGCGGGGUAUAUUGUGGAGACGACUUCGGUUUUCUUUUUGAUAUACCUAGCGGCGGACGGGUGAGUAACGCGUAGGCAACCUACCUGGUAGACGGGGAUAACAGUUUGAAAGGACUGCUAAUACCCGAUGAACGUGUAUGCUAUGCUGGCAUUACACGCAAAGCGUUUAGCGCUACCGGAUGGGCCUGCGUUCCAUUAGCUAGUUGGUGGGAUAAAAGCCUACCAAGGCGACGAUGGGUAGCUGGUCUGAGAGGAUGGUCAGCCACACUGGGACUGAGAACGGCCCAGACUCCUACGGGAGGCAGCAGUGGGGAAUUUUGCGCAAUGGGGGCAACCCUGACGCAGCGACGCCGCGUGAGCGAAGAAGGCCUUCGGGUUGUAAAGCUCUGUCAAGGGGGACGAUAGUGACGGUACCCUCUGGAGGAAGCCCCGGCGUA